Molecule: ribosomal RNA, 496 nt
Filed under: uncultured bacterium
Lineage: Bacteria
Description: partial 16S ribosomal RNA
Rfam family: Bacterial small subunit ribosomal RNA
Source: RNAcentral
AUGAACGCUGGCGGCGUGCCUAAUCCAUGCAAGUCGCGCGAACGGACGAGAAGCUUGCUUCUCUGAUGUUAGCGGCGGACGGGUGAGUAACACGUGGAUAACCUACCUAUAAGACUGGGAUAACUUCGGGAAACCGGAGCUAAUACCGGACAAUAUUUUGAACCGCUUGGUUCACAAGUGAAAGACGGUCUUGCUGUCACUUAUAGAUGGAUCCGCGCUGCAUUAGCUAGUUGGUAAGGUAACGGCUUACCAAGGCAACGAUGCAUAGCCGACCUGAGAGGGUGAUCGGCCACACUGGAACUGAGACACGGUCCAGACUCCUACGGGAGGCAGCAGUAGGGAAUCUUCCGCAACGGGCGAAAGCCUGACGGAGCAACGCCGCGUGAGUGAUGAAGGUCUUCGGAUCGUAAAACUCUGUUAUUAGGGAAGAACAUAUGUGUAAGUAACUGUGCACAUCUUGACGGUACCUAAUCAGAAAGCCACGGCUAACUACGUG